AGAAUCAACGCUGGCGGCGUGCCUAACACAUGCAAGUCGAACGAGAAAGGGGUAGCAAUACCCUGAGUAAAGUGGCGCACGGGUGAGUAACACGUGACUAACCUACCCUUGAGUGGGGGAUAACUGAGGGAAACCUUAGCUAAUACCGCAUAAUACCCACGGGUCAAAGGAGCAAUUCGCUCGAGGAGGGGUCGCGGCCGAUUAGUUAGUUGGCGGGGUAAUGGCCCACCAAGACGAUGAUCGGUAUCCGGCCUGAGAGGGCGCACGGACACACUGGAACUGAAACACGGUCCAGACUCCUACGGGAGGCAGCAGUGGGGAAUUUUGCGCAAUGGGGGAACCCUGACGCAGCAACGCCGCGUGGAGGAUGAAGUCCCUUGGGACGUAAACUCCUUUCGAUCGGGACGAUUAUGACGGUACCGGAAGAAGAAGCCCCGGCUAACUUCGCGCCAGCAGCCGC
RNAcentral lists this ribosomal RNA (460 nucleotides) under uncultured bacterium. RNAcentral describes it as "SSU rRNA". It matches the Rfam family "Bacterial small subunit ribosomal RNA", at positions 26 to 518 of the family's 1533-position model. The record is from RNAcentral.